Molecule: unclassified non-coding RNA, 349 nt
Filed under: soil metagenome
Description: partial contains 5.8S ribosomal RNA, internal transcribed spacer 2, and large subunit ribosomal RNA
Rfam family: 5.8S ribosomal RNA (bases 1-120)
Source: RNAcentral
GAUGAAGAACGUAGCGAAAUGCGAUAACUAAUGUGAAUUGCAGAAUUCCGUGAAUCAUCGAGUCUUUGAACGCACAUUGCGCCCCCUGGUAUUCCGGGGGGCAUGCCUGUCCGAGCGUCAUUGCUGCCCAUCAAGCACGGCUUGUGUGUUGGGUCCUCGUCCCCCCCGGGGGACGUGCCCGAAAGGCAGCGGCGGCACCGCGUCCGGUCCUCGAGCGUAUGGGGCUUUGUCACCCGCUCUGCAGGCCCGGCCGGCGCUGGCCGACGCGAAAUCAACCAUUUUUUCUCCAGGUUGACCUCGGAUCAGGUAGGGAUACCCGCUGAACUUAAGCAUAUCAAUAAGCGGAGGA